RNAcentral lists this transfer RNA (69 nucleotides) under Bos taurus (domestic cattle). It matches the Rfam family "tRNA". From Rfam's summary of the family: Transfer RNA (tRNA) molecules are approximately 80 nucleotides in length. Their secondary structure includes four short double-helical elements and three loops (D, anti-codon, and T loops). RNAcentral also lists the same sequence under 1 other name. The record is from Rfam by way of RNAcentral. Lineage: Eukaryota; Metazoa; Chordata; Mammalia; Artiodactyla; Bovidae.
CCUGGUGGCUCAGAUGGUAAAGCAUCUGCCUGCAAUGCAGGAGACCCAGGUUCAAUUCCUGGGUCAGGA